Myotis brandtii (Brandt's bat) is the source of this 2249-nucleotide long non-coding RNA. RefSeq lists it as uncharacterized. The record is from RefSeq and is a predicted model, not a curated record. Lineage: Eukaryota; Metazoa; Chordata; Mammalia; Chiroptera; Vespertilionidae. The transcript has 2 exons.
UAUUUAUUUCUUACUGAUAUUUUAUUUCUUACUGACAUUUUCUUUCUUUCUUUCUUACUGGUAUUUUAAAGAAGCCAGUUUGAGCCCCACCCUCACAUUCCUAAUGAGGAACUUUCACCUCUAUUUCCCAGUAAAUGACAUAGUCCUCUGUGAACUCUUGCUGAACUGAUUUUAUGAGCACACUGUUCUCAUUCGUUGAGAACUGGCAAGGCGACCCAAAUGGGGCCAGUGUGGGCAGGUGAGGCUGCCGCGGCAGGUGACAGCUUUCAGGGCUCUGGCCCGAGGCCGGCGCCGCCUCUGCUGACGUGUGCUGACUGGGCUGGCUGUUUACUACAUUGCUUUUAACAGCUUCACUUCCAGUAAACCUGAGAGCACGCCCCACCACCCUCAUUUACAGCACCCGGCGUAUCACAGGGCGGCAUGUGGGCCAAGAAAGGGAGAGUCUUGGAAAGGUGAGGCUAGCUGGCAGCGGGCACAUCCCCUGAUGUGAAGAAAGAGUCUGGGUAAACCAGAUGGCCGCUUCGGCGCUGCCCAGGGACACGCUGCAGGCUGCUCCUUGGAAGUGGAUCCUCUGUAGAGGUUCAUGAUGUGUGGUGAAUUUUAAUUCUUCUGAAGCCCCGGUUUGAGUCUCAGCUUCUGCAGGGAUGGCCCCCAGAGGUGGUUCCAGCUUCCACCCAACAUCUGGCCUGACUGUGGCUUCAUCGUCCAGUGCUUGCUCCUGAACUUCUCAUAUGACUGAAUGAGCACUUUUUGGUGAUGUGGUGUUCUAAGGUGAUAUGAACAAAUACUAUGGACUGAAUGUUAGUGUCUCCCCAAAAUUCAUAUGUUGAAGCCCUAACCCCCUAUGUGAUGGUCUGAAGAGGUAGAGCCUUUGGGAGGUGAUUAGGGUUAGAUGAGGUCUUGAGGAUGGGGCCCUCAUGAUGGGAUUAGUGUCCUUAUAAGAAAAGGAGGAGAUGUCAGAGCUUCCUUUCUCCCCCAUCUGAGAAUACAGCAGGAAGAUGGCCAUCUGCGAUCCAGAAGCAAACCCUCACCAACAACUGCAUCUGCGGGCACCUUGGUCUUGGAUUUCAGCCUCCGGAGAAAUAAAUGUCCGUUGUUUAAGCCACUUAGAUAUUUUGUCAUAGCAGCUUGAGCUACGAUAACACAUAUGAGGCUUCUUGUAGUCCUUGUGAUGCAAACACACAAAUGUCAGUUAGCUACCAUUUCUAUUUUUUCUUUUCUGAACAUUUAAGAAAUGAAUUACAUGCAAAUGAUUUAAAUACAAUAAAACGCACAGGUCUUCAGCAUUUAGUUCAGUAAGUUUGAACAAUUGUGCACCUGUGUAACCAUCACCUCCGUCAAGACUUAGGGCAUAUCCACCAGCAGAACAUUUCCUUCUGCCCCUUCCCAGUUAAUUAUCGGCCCACCCUCACAACCUUGGAGGCAGCAGAUCUCCAGGAGGCAACUCUCACCAUAGAUUAGCUUGGUCUGUUCUAGAGUUUCAAAUCCAUAGAUUCUUCUUUGUGUGUUUGACCUCUGUCACUCCAUGUGAUGUUUGGAGAUAAUUACUAGUACAUGUUGUUGAGCCUAUGAGCAAUCUCUCCCUUUUUAUUGCUGAGUAGCAGUCCAUGUAUGGACAUACCACAAUUUGUGAAUCCACCCUCUAGUUGAUGGGCAUGUAUUUGUUUGGCUAUUGUGUAUAUUUUGUCUGUAAAAAUUCUUGCAUAUGUCUUUCUGUCGACAUGUUUCAUUUCUGUUGGGUAAUGCCUGGAACUGGAACUGUUGAGUCAUAGAAGAGACACAUAACUAAAUGUGGAAGGAGCUGCCAGACAGAUCCCUAACGUGGUGGUACCAUUUCACUCUCCCCGAUGGAGCGAUGCGUAAUAGUUCCAGUUGCUCUGCAUCUUGCCAGCAUUUGGUGUUGUCAAUCGUUUUUUAUUUUAGCUACUGUGGUGGGUGUGAAAUGGCAUCUCACCGUCGCUUUAGUUUUCACUUCUCUGAUGACAAAUGCCAUUGAGCAACUUUUCAUGUGCUUUCUGGCCUUCAUGUAUCUCCUUUGGUGACAUGUCUAUUCAAGUAUUUUGCCCAUGUUUAAAAUUAAGUUAUUUAGUUUUUCAUGUUCAUUUGUAGGAGUUCUAUUUAUUUUUGUAUUUGUCUCUUCUCCCUUUUACUCCCUAAAUUUCUUGAGAUAUUUUGUCAGUUCUGUCUACAGUGCCCGCCACAAUUCUAUGUAACUAGCAGGUACUUAAUAAAUAUUUAUUGGAUUAUCA